AAUAGAUACCCGGGUAGUCCACGCCGUAAACGAUGAGUGCUAAGUGUUAGAGGGUUUCCGCCCUUUAGUGCUGAAGUUAGCGCAUUAAGCACUCCGCCUGGGGAGUACGGCCGCAAGGCUGAAACUCAAAGGAAUUGACGGGGGCCCGCACAAGCGGUGGAGCAUGUGGUUUAAUUCGAAGCAACGCGAAGAACCUUACCAGGUCUUGACAUCCUCUGACAACCCUAGAGAUAGGGCUUCUCCUUCGGGAGCAGAGUGACAGGUGGUGCAUGGUUGUCGUCAGCUCGUGUCGUGAGAUGUUGGGUUAAGUCCCGCAACGAGCGCAACCCUUGAUCUUAGUUGCCAUCAUUAAGUUGGGCACUCUAAGGUGACUGCCGGUGACAAACCGGAGGAAGGUGGGGAUGACGUCAAAUCAUCAUGCCCCUUAUGACCUGGGCUACACACGUGCUACAAUGGACGGUACAAAGAGCUGCAAGACCGCGAGGUGGAGCUAAUCUCAUAAAACCCGUUCUCAGUUCGGA
RNAcentral lists this ribosomal RNA (521 nucleotides) under uncultured bacterium. RNAcentral describes it as "bacterial SSU rRNA". It matches the Rfam family "Bacterial small subunit ribosomal RNA", at positions 777 to 1297 of the family's 1533-position model. The record is from RNAcentral.